This 253-nucleotide ribosomal RNA is filed under the name uncultured bacterium. RNAcentral's name for it is "partial 16S ribosomal RNA". It matches the Rfam family "Bacterial small subunit ribosomal RNA", at positions 524 to 776 of the family's 1533-position model. The record is from RNAcentral.
UACGUAGGGGGCAAGCGUUGUCCGGAAUCAUUGGGCGUAAAGAGCGUGUAUGCGGUCCGGUAAGUCGGCUGUGAAAGUCCAGGGCUCAACCCUGGGAUGCCGGUCGAUACUGCCGGACUAGAGUUCGGAAGAGGCGAGUGGAAUUCCCGGUGUAGCGGUGAAAUGCGCAGAUAUCAGGAGGAACACCCGUGGCGAAAGCGGCUCUCUGGGACGGUACUGACGCUGAGACGCGAAAGCGUGGGGAGCGAACAGG